UCCGAAAUGGUCUAGUGGCUAGGAUUUCUCGCUCUCAAGCUCUGUACAACACUGCGAAGUGCCGAGGAGGCCGGGGUUCAAUUCCCCGUUUCGGAA
Molecule: transfer RNA, 96 nt
Filed under: Sphaerulina musiva SO2202
Lineage: Eukaryota; Fungi; Ascomycota; Dothideomycetes; Mycosphaerellales; Mycosphaerellaceae
Rfam family: tRNA
About the family: Transfer RNA (tRNA) molecules are approximately 80 nucleotides in length. Their secondary structure includes four short double-helical elements and three loops (D, anti-codon, and T loops).
Source: Rfam by way of RNAcentral